This 255-nucleotide ribosomal RNA is filed under the name uncultured bacterium. Its description in RNAcentral is "partial 16S ribosomal RNA". It matches the Rfam family "Bacterial small subunit ribosomal RNA", at positions 524 to 776 of the family's 1533-position model. The record is from RNAcentral.
UACGGAGGGUGCAAGCAUUAAUCGGAUUUACUGGGCGUAAAGGGCGCGUAGGCGGGCAAGCAAGUCAAAUGUGAAAUUCCGGAGCUCAACUUCGGAGCGGCAUUUGAAACUGCAUGUCUAUAGAGGGAUGACGGAGAAAAUGGAAUUCCACGUGUAGCGGUGAAAUGCGUAGAUAUGUGGAAGAACACCAGUGGCGAAAGCGGUUUUCUAGUUAUCACCUGACGCUGAGGCGCGAGAGCAUGGGGAGCAAACAGG